GAUGAACGCUAGCGGCAUGCUUUACACAUGCAAGUCGAACGGUAACAGGUUAAGCUGACGAGUGGCGAACGGGUGAGUAAUGCAUCGGAACGUGCCCGGUCGUGGGGGAUAACACUUCGAAAGAAGUGCUAAUACCGCAUACGAUCUGAGGAUGAAAGCGGGGGACCGUAAGGCCUCGCGCGAUCGGAGCGGCCGAUGUCAGAUUAGGUAGUUGGUGGGGUAAAGGCUCACCAAGCCGACGAUCUGUAGCUGGUCUGAGAGGACGACCAGCCACACUGGGACUGAGACACGGCCCAGACUCCGACGGGAGGCAGCAGUGGGGAAUUUUGGACAAUGGGCGCAAGCCUGAUCCAGCCAUGCCGCGUGCAGGAUGAAGGCCUUCGGGUUGUAAACUGCUUUUGUACGGAACGAAAAGGUUUGACUUAAUACGUUGGGCUCAUGACGGUACCGUAAGAAUAAGCACCGGCUAACUACGUGCCAGCCGCCGCCGUAA
RNAcentral lists this ribosomal RNA (493 nucleotides) under uncultured bacterium. RNAcentral describes it as "partial 16S ribosomal RNA". It matches the Rfam family "Bacterial small subunit ribosomal RNA", at positions 28 to 523 of the family's 1533-position model. The record is from RNAcentral.